RNAcentral lists this ribosomal RNA (468 nucleotides) under uncultured bacterium. RNAcentral's name for it is "partial 16S ribosomal RNA". It matches the Rfam family "Bacterial small subunit ribosomal RNA", at positions 28 to 507 of the family's 1533-position model. The record is from RNAcentral.
GACGAACGCUGGCGGCGUGCUUAACACAUGCAAGUCGAACGGAAAGGCCCUGCUUUUGUGGGGUGCUCGAGUGGCGAACGGGUGAGUAACACGUGAGUAACCUGUCCUUGACUUUGGGAUAACUUCAGGAAACUGGGGCUAAUACCGGAUAGGAGCUCCUGCUGCAUGGUGGGGGUUGGAAAGUUUCGGCGGUUGGGGAUGUACUCGCGGCUUAUCAGCUUGUUGGUUGGGUAGUGGCUUACCAAGGCUUUGACGGGUAGCAGGCCUGAGAGGGUGGCCGGCCACAUUGGGCCUGGGAUACGGCCCAGACUCCUACGGGAGGCAGCAGUGGAGAAUAUUGCACAAUGGGCGGAAGCCUGAUGCAGCAACGCCGCGUGCGGGAUGACGGGCUUCGGGUUGUAAACCGCUGUCGCCUGUGACGAAGCGUGAGUGACGGUAAUGGGUAAAGAAGCACCGGCUAACUACGUG